This 579-nucleotide long non-coding RNA is filed under the name Equus caballus (horse). RNAcentral describes it as "lncRNA (ENSECAG00000052020.1)". The record is from RNAcentral. Lineage: Eukaryota; Metazoa; Chordata; Mammalia; Perissodactyla; Equidae.
GUCCCCAGGGUCCAAAUUUAAUGGACUCGGAAGAAUCCUGCCUGAGGCCUGUCUGCUGCAUUUCCAAGCACACCAGUUUCUUCCUAUUCUCCAGAAGUUCAUUGAGCAAAUUACCCACCACGAUAGUCCCAUCACUUCUUGUGAGACUGCCUUGUUCACCCAAGAUGCCCCAUCCCCCACCUCCACAAAGAUGGAUCGAUGAGGUUUGACAGGUGUGACUUUGGAAAUGAAGACAGAUGACCAGCAAUGCUCUGACUCUACAAGAACUAUUCCGAGAAUAGGGAGCUCAGAUGGGGAUUCUGGGGCGUGAACUCUUUGGCUGAGCAACAAAUGCACUUGGGAGUAGGAGAAGAUGGCGGGGGCAACAUGGCAGUAUCCUCUCUACUGAGUGGUAUUUUACAGAUUUGCCCUGGGUUAACAUCCACUGCCAAGCUUCCAUAGCAUGGCCACUGGCAAGUGGUGUAGGUCCACGCUCCAGAACUGAACCCAGGCCACCGAAGCAGAGCAUGUGGAACUUAACCACCAGGCCACCGGAGCUGGCUCCUAAGUAUCCACUUCUUUCAAUAAAUUCAGUUUUCU